AACGAACGCUGGCGGCAGGCUUAACACAUGCAAGUCGAGCGCCUCGCAGGAGGAGCGGCAGACGGGUGAGUAACGCGUGGGAACGUACCCUUAUCUUCGGAAUAGCUCUGGGAAACUGGAAGUAAUACCGAAUGUGCCCUUAGGGGGAAAGAUUUAUCGGAUAAGGAUCGGCCCGCGUUGGAUUAGCUAGUUGGUGGGGUAAAGGCCUACCAAGGCGACGAUCCAUAGCUGGUCUGAGAGGAUGAUCAGCCACAUUGGGACUGAGACACGGCCCAAACUCCUACGGGAGGCAGCAGUGGGGAAUAUUGGACAAUGGGCGCAAGCCUGAUCCAGCCAUGCCGCGUGAGUGAUGAAGGCCUUAGGGUUGUAAAGCUCUUUCACCGGAGAAGAUAAUGACGGUAUCCGGAGAAGAAGCCCCGGCUAACUUCGUG
This 431-nucleotide ribosomal RNA is filed under the name uncultured bacterium. RNAcentral's name for it is "partial 16S ribosomal RNA". It matches the Rfam family "Bacterial small subunit ribosomal RNA", at positions 29 to 507 of the family's 1533-position model. The record is from RNAcentral.